UACGGAGGAUCCAAGCGUUAUCCGGAUUUAUUGGGUUUAAAGGGUGCGUAGGCGGGGCAAUAAGUCAGUGGUGAAAUCUUCCAGCUUAACUGGGAAACUGCCAUUGAUACUGUUGUUCUUGAGUUUGGUUGAAGUAGGCGGAAUGAGGCAUGUAGCGGUGAAAUGCAUAGAUAUGCCUCAGAACACCGAUUGCGAAGGCAGCUUACUAAGCCAAUACUGACGCUGAGGCACGAAAGCGUGGGUAGCGAACAGG
RNAcentral lists this ribosomal RNA (253 nucleotides) under uncultured bacterium. RNAcentral describes it as "partial 16S ribosomal RNA". It matches the Rfam family "Bacterial small subunit ribosomal RNA", at positions 524 to 776 of the family's 1533-position model. The record is from RNAcentral.